Molecule: non-coding RNA, 45 nt
Organism: Schistosoma mansoni
Lineage: Eukaryota; Metazoa; Platyhelminthes; Trematoda; Strigeidida; Schistosomatidae
Source: Rfam
AUCCAGCUGAUGAGUCCCAAAUAGGACGAAACGCUCGUCCUGGAU